AUGAUCUCUCUCUCCCUCCGUCACUCUCUCUCUCUGUCUGUAUCUCUGUCUCUCUCUAUCUCUCUCUCUCUCCCUGUGUCUCUGUCUCUCACUCUCCCUCUCUGUCUGUAUCUCUCUCUCUCUCUCUCUCUCCCUGUGUCUCUGUCUCUCUCUCUCUCUGUCUCUCCGUCUCUCUCUCUCCGUCUCUCUCUCUCUCCGUCUCUCUCUCCGUCUCUCUCUCUCUCCGUCUCUCUCUCUGUCUCUCCGUCUCUCUCUCUCUGUCUCUGUUUCUGUCUCUCUCUCUGUCUCUCUCUGUCUGUAUCUCUGUCUCUCUCUCUCUAUCUCUCUCUCUCUCUCCCUGUGUCUCUGUCUCUCUCUCUGUCUCUCCGUCUCUGUUUCUCUGUCUCUCUCUCUGUCUCUCCGUCUCUGUUUCUCUGUCUCUCUCUCUGUCUCUCCAUCUCUCUGUCUGUCUGUCUGUCUCUCUCUCUGUCUGUAUCUCUGUCUCUCUAUCUCUCUCUCUCUCCCUGUGUCUCUGUCUCUCUCUCUGUCUCUCCGUCUCUGUUUCUCUGUCUCUCUCUCUGUCUCUCCGUCUCUGUUUCUCUCUGUCUCUCUCUGUCUCUCCAUCUCUCUGUCUGUCUGUCUGUCUCUCUCUCUGUCUCUCUCUGUCUGUAUCUCUGUCUCUCUCUAUCUCUCUCUCUCUCCCUGUGUCUCUGUCUCUCUCUCUGUCUCUCCGUCUCUGUUUCUCUGUCUCUCUCUCUGUCUCUCCGUCUCUGUUUCUCUCUCUCUCUCUGUCUCUCCAUCUCUCUGUCUGUCUGUCUGUCUCUCUCUCUGUCUCUCUCUCUGUUUCUCUGUCUCUCUCUCUGUCUCUCCGUCUCUGUUUCUCUGUCUCUGUCUCUCUCUGUCUCUCCAUCUCUCUGUCUGUCUGUCUCUGUUUCUGUCUCUCUCUCUGUCUCUCUCUGUCUGUAUCUCUGUCUCUCUCUGUCUCUCCGUCUCUCUCUCUCUGUCUCUCUCUGUCUCUCCGUCUCUCUCUCUCUGUCUCUCUCUGUCUCUCUCUCUGUUUCGGUCUCUUCUAUAGCUACCUAA
Molecule: long non-coding RNA, 1062 nt
Filed under: Oncorhynchus kisutch (coho salmon)
Lineage: Eukaryota; Metazoa; Chordata; Actinopteri; Salmoniformes; Salmonidae
Description: lncRNA (ENSOKIG00005036944.1)
Source: RNAcentral